Molecule: ribosomal RNA, 464 nt
Filed under: uncultured Geobacteraceae bacterium
Lineage: Bacteria; Pseudomonadati; Thermodesulfobacteriota; Desulfuromonadia; Geobacterales; Geobacteraceae
Description: partial 16S ribosomal RNA
Rfam family: Bacterial small subunit ribosomal RNA
Source: RNAcentral
CCUACGGGUGGCAGCAGUGAGGAAUAUUGCGCAAUGGGCGAAAGCCUGACGCAGCAACGCCGCGUGGGUGAUGAAGGCCUUCGGGUCAUAAAGCUCUGUCAGAGGGGAAGAAAUGCAGGUGGUGAACAACCAUUCUGUUUGACGGUACCCUCAAAGGAAGCACCGGCUAACUCCGUGCCAGCAGCCGCGGUAAUACGGAGGGUGCGAGCGUUGUUCGGAAUUAUUGGGCGUAAAGCGCGUGUAGGCGGUUUGUUAAGUUGGAUGUGAAAGCCCCGGGCUCAACCGGGGAAGUGCAUUGGAUACUGGCAGACUUGAGUACGGGAGAGGAGAGUGGAAUUCCCAGUGUAGGAGUGAAAUCCGUAGAUAUUGGGAGGAACACCGGUGGCGAAGGCGGCUCUCUGGACCGAUACUGACGCUGAGACGCGAAAGCGUGGGGAGCAAACGGGAUUAGAUACCCGGGUAGU